UACGGGGGGGGCAAGCGUUGUUCGGAAUUACUGGGCGUAAAGGGCUCGUAGGCGGCCAACUAAGUCAUACGUGAAAUCCCUCGGCUUAACCGGGGAACUGCGUCUGAUACUGGAUAGCUUGAGUUCGGGAGAGGGAUGCGGAAUUCUCGGUGUAGCAGUGAAAUGCGUAGAUAUCGGGAGGAACAUCAGUGGCGAAGGCGGCUAUCUGGACCAACACUGACACUGAGGCACGAAAGCGUGGGUAGCAAACAGG
This 253-nucleotide ribosomal RNA is filed under the name uncultured bacterium. RNAcentral describes it as "partial 16S ribosomal RNA". It matches the Rfam family "Bacterial small subunit ribosomal RNA", at positions 524 to 776 of the family's 1533-position model. The record is from RNAcentral.